Molecule: ribosomal RNA, 468 nt
Filed under: uncultured bacterium
Lineage: Bacteria
Description: partial 16S ribosomal RNA
Rfam family: Bacterial small subunit ribosomal RNA
Source: RNAcentral
GACGAACGCUGGCGGCGUGCUUAACACAUGCAAGUCGAACGGAAAGGCCCUGCUUUUGUGGGGUGCUCGAGUGGCGAACGGGUGAGUAACACGUGAGUAACCUGCCCUUGACUUUGGGAUAACUUCAGGAAACUGGGGCUAAUACCGGAUAGGAGCUCCUGCUGCAUGGUGGGGGUUGGAAAGUUUCGGCGGUUGGGGAUGGACUCGCGGCUUAUCAGCUUGUUGGUGGGGUAGUGGCUUACCAAGGCUUUGACGGGUAGCCGGCCUGAGAGGGUGACCGGCCACAUUGGGACUGAGAUACGGCCCAGACUCCUACGGGAGGCAGCAGUGGGGAAUAUUGCACAAUGGGCUGAAGCCUGAUGCAGCAACGCCGCGUGCGGGAUGACGGCCUUCGGGUAGUAAACCGCUUUCGCCUGUGACGAAGCGUGAGUGACGGUAAUGGGUGAAGAAGCACCGGCUAACUACGUG